UACGGGGGGAGCAAGCGUUGUUCGGAUUUACUGGGCGUAAAGGGCGCGUAGGCGGCCACCGCAAGUCGACUGUGAAAUCUCCGGGCUUAACCCGGAAAGGUCAGCCGAUACUGCGGGGCUAGAGUGCAGAAGGGGCAACUGGAAUUCUUGGUGUAGCGGUGAAAUGCGUAGAGAUCAUGAGGAAGACCGGUGGCGAAGGCGGGUCUCUGGACAGUUCCUGACACUGAGACACGAAGGCCAGGGGAGCAAACGGG
Molecule: ribosomal RNA, 254 nt
Filed under: uncultured bacterium
Lineage: Bacteria
Description: partial 16S ribosomal RNA
Rfam family: Bacterial small subunit ribosomal RNA
Source: RNAcentral